UUAUUCUCCCCCUUGCUCGCUCGCUAUAGAUGUAAAACAACAGCGUUUUUCUUCAUAGCUUUGUUCGUUUCCCCUCCUUUCCUUUCUCCUCCCAAUUUACAUCUCUUUUAUCAGCCAUUGUUUUGCCCUAUGCUUCCUGUUCUCCUUCAAUUCCUGUGUUUCAGUUUUCCUUUGAUUUGAGAAUGCACAGGUGCCGAGUGGUGGAUUCAACACUUCGGGAACUCUUUUUCCCUUCCAAGUCGGGUGCCAUUUAUCAGUUGUGAAAAUUAUGAAUUCCUUGGUUCUAUGCCAUGGAUGAUUGUGCUGUUCAGUUUGGAUUUGGAAUUCUUUUGAGGAUGCUGGCAGCCCUGUGCUUAUACUGUCAUCUAAUUCGGAAGUGGGUUAGUACAGAUGGUGCCAUUCAUGCUUCAUAAACAUCAGUUCCCUUGGUUGCUCCAUUAUUAGGCGUGAUUUAUGGUGGAGAGCUGGAUGCUUCUUCUCUAAUAUGAUUAUCAGAAAAAGAUGAGAAGCAUCUUAAAUUGAAUCAUGCCUCCAGAAUUAUAUAUGGAGUUAUGGACGACAUACUGUAAGUUUAUUUCUAUUAAGAUUUAUGCAGCUUUAUAUGUUACAUACUGUAGUAACAUGUUGAUUAUAGAUCAGAGGAGUUUGAAACACAUAUUUCAUUUUGUACCUUGUAUAGGUAUUUUAUCAUCCUCAUUAUUUGCAGUUUAAGCUGGCUUCUUAUCUUAAGCAAUGAGAUAUAGUAAUGUAAAUUACUUUGGUUUUUCAGGCGAUUGAGCUUCACAUAUUAAUACUUUGCAUUUCAUAUAUUGGAGGGUUGUUUUUGCAUACGUAAAGGUGCAGCCAAUUUUAUAUGUUCCCCAAAAAAAGACAGUUAGAAGAUGCUUUUAUGUAUAUAUUUAUCAAGUGACAUGGCCUUUGCAACUUUUAAAUUUGCUUCAGUUAGAUAUGUUAAACGCAUGCAGCUGCUAGCUUUAGAAAUUUGUAUAUUUGUAGUGCACAUAGAAGCUCAAUGGUCAAUGGAAUGGGUGCAAGUUUGAUGUGAAAAAGCCCUUUACGGAUUUCUGCCUUCUUGCAUAAUUCAAUGCUAACUUUGUAAUGAAUUUAUUUAUGUAUUUAUUUAUUUUUGGUAUGUAAUUUAUUAAUAAAUUCUGAGAAAUGUUUAUCUUGAUAAACCCCCUUUUUGGGUUUAAUUUUUAGUGCUC
Long non-coding RNA from Manihot esculenta (cassava), 1205 nucleotides. RefSeq lists it as uncharacterized. The record is from RefSeq and is a predicted model, not a curated record. NCBI's taxonomy places the organism in Eukaryota, Viridiplantae, Streptophyta, Magnoliopsida, Malpighiales, Euphorbiaceae. The transcript has 4 exons.